This 2067-nucleotide ribosomal RNA is filed under the name bacterium. RNAcentral's name for it is "partial 23S ribosomal RNA". It matches the Rfam family "Bacterial large subunit ribosomal RNA", at positions 1 to 2000 of the family's 2925-position model. The record is from RNAcentral.
UAACAGGAAAUUUAAGGGCGUACGGUGGAUGCCUAGACUAAAAGUAGCGAUGAAGGACGUGGCGUAGCUGCGAUAAGCUUCGGGGAGGUGUGUAGCAACCUUUGAUCCGGAGAUUUCCGAAUGGGGAAACCCUAUCUCGUAACCCGAGAUAACUUCAGGCGUAAGCUUGAAGAGCGCACCCUGGGAAGUGAAACAUCUCAGUACCAGGUGGAAAAGAAGCAAAUAUGUAUUUCCUAAGUAGCGGCGAGCGAAAGGGAAGAAGCCCAAACCAAGCACCAUUUUCACGGGAUAAUUUAUUGUCCGGUGAAUGAUGUUGCUUGGGGUUGUAAGAUAACAACGUAGUUUACUAGAGGAGUCAAAAAUUGAAUUGUUAGUUUAAUUUGCUGGAAAGCAAAACCAUAGAGGGUGAUAGUCCCGUGGACGAAAACAAUACAACUCUUUUGUUGUUACUCUUGAGUACCCCAGGACAUGAAUGGCCGGGGGGAAUCCGCCAGAACUAACUGGCAAGGCUAAAUAUACUUUUAGAUCGAUAGUGAACUAGUACCGUGAGGGAAAGGUGAAAAGCAGCCCGAUUAGGGCGGUGAAAUAGACCUGAAACCGUAUGUCUACAAGGAGUCGAACCGGGGAUUUAUCUCCGGAACGGCGUGCCUAUUGAAGAAUGAGCCAACGAGUUUAUGCAUGCUGCUCGGCGAAGUGGGCUAAAACCACAGAGCCUUAGGGAAACCGAGUGUUAAUAGCGCGUAAUUGGUAGUAUGCAUAAGACCCGAAGCCAGGUGAGCUUGCCAUGAGCAGGUUGAAGUAGGUCGAAAGAUCUAUGGAGGACCGAACCGGUAGAUCGUACAACGUCUUCGGAUGACUUGUGGUAAGGAGUGAAAAGCUAAUCGAACCUGGUAAUAGCUGGUUCUCUCCGAAAUAGCUUUAGGGCUAGCGUCGCGUGUUUCUUCUGGGGGUAGAGCACUGGAAGGUUUCGACAGGGAGCAAUCUCGCGAAACCUAUCAAACUCCGAAUACCAGAAGCCAGAAUGCGGCAGUUAGGCCAUGGGGGCGAAGCUCCAUCGGCCAAAAGGGAAACAGCCCGGAUCUCUAAAUAAGGUCCCUAAAUAUAUACUAAGUGUAAAACAAGAAGGUGGAGUUUCUUUAACAAUGAGGAGGUUGGCUUAGAAGCAGCCACCCUUUAAAGAUAGCGUAACAGCUCACUCAUCUAGAGAUUCUGCGUCGAAAAUAAUUGGGGCUAAGUAUAUUACCGAAUUUGAGGACUUCAUAGAUUCUUCGGAAUGUAUGGAGUGGUAGGAGAGUGUUCCACUCUGCUGUGAAGGAGGACCCGUGAGGGCCUCUGGAGUGUGUGGAAGCAAAAAUGUUGGCACAAGUAACCGCAAUGAUGCUGAGAACGCAUCACGUCGAAAGAUCAAGGUUUCCUUGGUAAUGUCAAUCAGCCAAGGGUUAGUCGGGCCUAAGGGAAUGGCGAAAGCCGUACUCGAUGGACACAGGGUUAAUAUUCCCUGACUUCUGUAUUUAGUGAUGGGAGGACGGAGUGUAGUAUGUAUUGCCGAUUAUUGGAUUUCAGGUUUGUAUUCUGAUUGCGCGGCAUAGGAAAAUCCGUGUGCUGCCUUAAAUGGCGAGCGAAAGGGAUAUGAAAAGUUUCAGGCUACGGCCUGGGGCGAUAAUACAAAGCACGCUUCCAAGAAAAAUCUCUAAACUUAUAAAUAUAGGAUCCGUACCGCAAACCGACACAGGUGAUCAGGUCGAGUAGACCAAGACGAACGAGUGAGUGGUCCCCAAGGAACUCGGCAAAAAAUCAGCCGUAACUUCGGGAUAAGGCUUGCCCUCUGUUAAUUCAGAGGGCCGCAGCGAAAGUAUUCCUGCCAACUGUUUACCAAAAACACAGCUCCCUGCGAACUCGCAAGAGGAUGUAUAGGGGGUGACACCUGACCAAUGCCAGAAGGUCAAACAACGCCGUUGUGAGUAGCAAUAUUUAUGGUGAGUGUUGUAAGCCCUGGUGAAUGUCGGCCGUAACUAUAACGGUCCUAAGGUUCUGUGCACAACGCAAGUUAUGCGCGGAAUGACUGGG